UGGGGAAACCCAGUGUGACUCGUCACACUAUCAUUAACUGAAUCCAUAGGUUAAUGAGGCGAACCGGGGGAACUGAAACAUCUAAGUACCCCGAGGAAAAGAAAUCAACCGAGAUUCCCCCAGUAGCGGCGAGCGAACGGGGAGGAGCCCAGAGCCUGAAUCAGCAUGUGUGUUAGUGGAAGCGUCUGGAAAGGCGCGCGAUACAGGGUGACAGCCCCGUACACAAAAGCGCAUGUGCUGUGAGCUCGAUGAGUAGGGCGGGACACGUGGUAUCCUGUCUGAAUAUGGGGGGACCAUCCUCCAAGGCUAAAUACUCCUGACUGACCGAUAGUGAACCAGUACCGUGAGGGAAAGGCGAAAAGAACCCCGGCGAGGGGAGUGAAAAAGAACCUGAAACCGUGUACGUACAAGCAGUGGGAGCACAGGUUUACCUGUGUGACUGCGUACCUUUUGUAUAAUGGGUCAGCGACUUAUAUUCUGUAGCAAGGUUAACCGUAUAGGGGAGCCGUAGGGAAACCGAGUCUUAACCGGGCGUUAAGUUGCAGGGUAUAGACCCGAAACCCGGUGAUCUAGCCAUGGGCAGGUUGAAGGUUGGGUAACACUAACUGGAGGACCGAACCGACUAAUGUUGAAAAAUUAGCGGAUGACCUGUGGCUGGGGGUGAAAGGCCAAUCAAACCGGGAGAUAGCUGGUUCUCCCCGAAAGCUAUUUAGGUAGCGCCUCGUGAAUUCAUCUCCGGGGGUAGAGCACUGUUUCGGCUAGGGGGCCAUCCCGGCUUACCAACCCGAUGCAAACUGCGAAUACCGGAGAAUGUUAUCACGGGAGACACACGGCGGGUGCUAACGUCCGUCGUGAAGAGGGAAACAACCCAGACCGCCAGCUAAGGUCCCAAAGUCAUGGUUAAGUGGGAAACGAUGUGGGAAGGCCCAGACAGCCAGGAUGUUGGCUUAGAAGCAGCCAUCAUUUAAAGAAAGCGUAAUAGCUCACUGGUCGAGUCGGCCUGCGCGGAAGAUGUAACGGGGCUAAACCAUGCACCGAAGCUGCGGCAGCGACGCUGAUGCGUUGUUGGGUAGGGGAGCGUUCUGUAAGCCUGUGAAGGUGGCCUGUGAGGGUUGCUGGAGGUAUCAGAAGUGCGAAUGCUGACAUAAGUAACGAUAAAGCGGGUGAAAAGCCCGCUCGCCGGAAGACCAAGGGUUCCUGUCCAACGUUAAUCGGGGCAGGGUGAGUCGACCCCUAAGGCGAGGCCGAAAGGCGUAGUCGAUGGGAAACGGGUUAAUAUUCCCGUACUUGGUGUUACUGCGAAGGGGGGACGGAGAAGGCUAUGUUGGCCGGGCGACGGUUGUCCCGGUUUAAGCGUGUAGGUGUGUGUUCCAGGUAAAUCCGGUUCACUUUAACACUGAGGCGUGAUGACGAGGCACUACGGUGCUGAAGCAACAAAUGCCCUGCUUCCAGGAAAAGCCUCUAAGCAUCAGGUAACAUCAAAUCGUACCCCAAACCGACACAGGUGGUCAGGUAGAGAAUACCAAGGCGCUUGAGAGAACUCGGGUGAAGGAACUAGGCAAAAUGGUGCCGUAACUUCGGGAGAAGGCACGCUGACACGUAGGUGAAGUGAUUUACUCAUGGAGCUGAAGUCAGUCGAAGAUACCAGCUGGCUGCAACUGUUUAUUAAAAACACAGCACUGUGCAAACACGAAAGUGGACGUAUACGGUGUGACGCCUGCCCGGUGCCGGAAGGUUAAUUGAUGGGGUCAGCGCAAGCGAAGCUCCUGAUCGAAGCCCCGGUAAACGGCGGCCGUAACUAUAACGGUCCUAAGGUAGCGAAAUUCCUUGUCGGGUAAGUUCCGACCUGCACGAAUGGCGUAAUGAUGGCCAGGCUGUCUCCACCCGAGACUCAGUGAAAUUGAACUCGCUGUGAAGAUGCAGUGUACCCGCGGCAAGACGGAAAGACCCCGUGAACCUUUACUAUAGCUUGACACUGAACAUUGAGCCUUGAUGUGUAGGAUAGGUGGGAGGCUUUGAAGCGUGGACGCCAGUCUGCAUGGAGCCGGCCUUGAAAUACCACCCUUUAAUGUUUGAUGUUCUAACGUGGACCCGUGAUCCGGGUUGCGGACAGUGUCUGGUGGGUAGUUUGACUGGGGCGGUCUCCUCCUAAAGAGUAACGGAGGAGCACGAAGGUUGGCUAAUCCUGGUCGGACAUCAGGAGGUUAGUGCAAUGGCAUAAGCCAGCUUGACUGCGAGCGUGACGGCGCGAGCAGGUGCGAAAGCAGGUCAUAGUGAUCCGGUGGUUCUGAAUGGAAGGGCCAUCGCUCAACGGAUAAAAGGUACUCCGGGGAUAACAGGCUGAUACCGCCCAAGAGUUCAUAUCGACGGCGGUGUUUGGCACCUCGAUGUCGGCUCAUCACAUCCUGGGGCUGAAGUAGGUCCCAAGGGUAUGGCUGUUCGCCAUUUAAAGUGGUACGCGAGCUGGGUUUAGAACGUCGUGAGACAGUUCGGUCCCUAUCUGCCGUGGGCGCUGGAGAACUGAGGGGGGCUGCUCCUAGUACGAGAGGACCGGAGUGGACGCAUCACUGGUGUUCGGGUUGUCAUGCCAAUGGCACUGCCCGGUAGCUAAAUGCGGAAGAGAUAAGUGCUGAAAGCAUCUAAGCACGAAACUUGCCCCGAGAUGAGUUCUCCCUGAGACUUAGAGUCUCCUGAAGGAACGUUGAAGACGACGACGUUGAUAGGCCGGGUGUGUAAGCGCAGCGAUGCGUUGAGCUAACCGGUACUAAUGAACCGUGAGGCUUAACCUUACAACGCCGAAG
This 2801-nucleotide ribosomal RNA is filed under the name Salmonella enterica. Its description in RNAcentral is "partial 23S ribosomal RNA". It matches the Rfam family "Bacterial large subunit ribosomal RNA". Lineage: Bacteria; Pseudomonadati; Pseudomonadota; Gammaproteobacteria; Enterobacterales; Enterobacteriaceae. The record is from RNAcentral.